GACCAGAUAGCUCAAUUGGUAGAGCGUCCGUCUGGGGUUCGGAAGGUCCUGGGUUUGAACCCCAGUCUGGUCA
Mizuhopecten yessoensis (Yesso scallop) is the source of this 73-nucleotide non-coding RNA. The record is from the annotation of a RefSeq genome assembly. NCBI's taxonomy places the organism in Eukaryota, Metazoa, Mollusca, Bivalvia, Pectinida, Pectinidae.